GCGGUUGUAGCUCAGCUGGUAGAGCACUCGGUUGUGGUCCGAGAGGUCACGGGUUCGAUCCCCGUCAAUCGCC
RNAcentral lists this transfer RNA (73 nucleotides) under Minisyncoccota bacterium. Its description in RNAcentral is "tRNA-His". It matches the Rfam family "tRNA". Rfam says of the family: Transfer RNA (tRNA) molecules are approximately 80 nucleotides in length. Their secondary structure includes four short double-helical elements and three loops (D, anti-codon, and T loops). Further hydrogen bonds mediate the characteristic L-shaped molecular structure. tRNAs have two regions of fundamental functional importance: the anti-codon, which is responsible for specific mRNA codon recognition, and the 3' end, to which the tRNAs corresponding amino acid is attached (by aminoacyl-tRNA synthetases). tRNAs cope with the degeneracy of the genetic code in two manners: having more than one tRNA (with a specific anti-codon) for a particular amino acid; and 'wobble' base-pairing, i.e. permitting non-standard base-pairing at the 3rd anti-codon position. Lineage: Bacteria; Bacillati; Minisyncoccota. The record is from RNAcentral.